RNAcentral lists this ribosomal RNA (443 nucleotides) under uncultured bacterium. RNAcentral's name for it is "partial 16S ribosomal RNA". It matches the Rfam family "Bacterial small subunit ribosomal RNA", at positions 338 to 795 of the family's 1533-position model. The record is from RNAcentral.
CCUACGGGUGGCUGCAGUGGGGAAUCUUGGGCAAUGGGCGCAAGCCUGACCCAGCAAAGCCGCGUGAAGGAAGAAGGCUUUCGGGUUGUAAACUUCUUUUAUCAGGGACGAAGCAAGUGACGGUACCUGAUGAAUAAGCCACGUCUAAAUACGUGCCAGCAGCUGAGGUAAUACGUAGGUGGCAAGCGUUCCCCGGCUGUACUGGGUGUAAAGGGGGUGUAGGCGGGAAAGCACGUCAGAUGUGAAAACCAUGGGGUCCACCUGUGGCCUGCAUUUGAACCUGUUUGUCUUGAGUACUGUAGAGGCAGACGGAAUUCGUAGUGUAGCGGGGAAAUGCGUAGAUAUUAGGAGGAACACCAGUGGCGAAGGCGGUCUGCUGGACAGCAACUGACGCUGAUGCGCGAAAGCGUGGGGAGCAAACAGGAUUAGAUACCCUUGUAGUC